CAAGUCGAGGGAAUCCCAGCAAUGGGGGAACCGGCGUAAGGGGCAGUAAGGCAUGGGUACCUACCCUGAAGUUCGGGAUAGCCAUCAGAGAUGGUGGGUAAUACCGGAUGAUGUCGAGAGACCAAAGAUUUAUCGCUUUGGGAGGGGCCCAUGUGAUAUUAGCUAGUUGGUGAGGUAACGGCUCACCAAGGCAAAGAUGUCUAGCGGGUAUGAGAGUACGACCCGCGCCACUCGCACUGAGACACUGGCGAGACACCUACGGGUGGCUGCAGUCGAGGAUCUUCGUCAAUGGGCGAAAGCCUGAACGAGCGAUGCCGCGUGCGCGAUGAAGGCCUUCGGGUUGUAAAGCGCUUUAGUGGGGGAGAAAAGGGUAAAACUUUGAUCUAUCCCAAAAAUAAGCUCGGGCUAAGUUCGUGCCAGCAGCCGCGGUAAGACGAACCGAGCGAACGUUGUUCGGAAUCACUGGGCUUAAAGGGCGCGUAGGCGGGCUGUCAAGUCUGGGGUGAAAUCCCACGGCUCAACCGUGGAACUGCCUUAGAUACAGACGGCCUCGAGGGAGAUAGGGGCGAGCGGAACUGUGAGUGGAGCGGUGAAAUGCGUUGAUAUUCACAGGAACUCCGGUGGCGAACGCUGCUCGCU
RNAcentral lists this ribosomal RNA (639 nucleotides) under uncultured Planctomycetales bacterium. RNAcentral's name for it is "bacterial SSU rRNA". It matches the Rfam family "Bacterial small subunit ribosomal RNA", at positions 58 to 730 of the family's 1533-position model. The record is from RNAcentral. Lineage: Bacteria; Pseudomonadati; Planctomycetota; Planctomycetia; Planctomycetales.